CACUAGGAGCCUCGGAGAGCCCCCUACAGGCGGGAGGACCCGAAAGGAAAGUACUUCCGCUCAGAUGGGCGGAGCUAGGGAGGUGGGGGCGGAAGUGACUGUGUUCGUUUUGGGGCUUGCAGCGUCAGGUAGCUACGUCUACCGUAAGUGGGUGAGGUGUAGUGGGCUCUUCAAGUUUUUGAAGUCAUUUUCGUGAAGGCUUGAGAACUCUGUUCUUUCACUGUGCACAUGGGAUGUCGUUUAGAAACUUACUGUUUUGGGGGUCUUCUUUUCCUGGUAGAAAUAUGAGUUUUCUCUUGAAGUUUUAACUUCGUGCCAUAGCUACGGUAGCUGCCUAGGGCCCACACUGGAGCAAAGAGAAACAUGUGAUUUGGAAACAGAAAGACUGAAAGUACGGGGCAUGAAGAGCCUUUGAUUUCUGGAGGCCACAUGGUCACCCAUGUAAUGGAGUAGCAGCUUUGCAGUGGUCAGUUAUUAAAGGUGAGGGCACAGUGAGAAGGUAGCCAUCUGCAUUCCAGGAAGAGUCCUCUCAUCAGGAAUCAAGUUGGCUGGCACCUUGAUCUUGGACGUCUCAGCCUCCAGAACGUUCGCUAAACUUUCUUAAGACGAUUAUUCUGAAUUCUUUCACAGUUCACAGAUCUCCAUUUCUCUAGGGAAACAACGUGACAAUUCCCAUGAAAUUUCAGUCUGAUGCUAAAGGUAGGGACCGAGGUCAAGCUCGAAGUCAUUUACAGGACCAUGAACACUGCCUUAGACUAAAUCUGGGCUUAGCAGCUGCAGAAAAAUAACUCAUGGAAAGCCUUGUUUUAUUAUUUGCUGACAAUUAAAUGCAGUAUCAUAUGAACAUAUUAUGAAAGGGAUUUUGUAAGUGAGAGGGAGUGGCUGGGAAGAAGCAAGGUGAGUGGUGGAAAUGACACUGAAACUUAAACAAUGUUGGAGGGAAGAGUCAUCCACCUAGGGGGACUUCCUGAUUGAAAGCAACAGCAGAAACACAAACAUAUUGAAUUUAGAGCUUUGCAAAUGCAUCUCUUCAUGUCGGGUAUUUUGAGUCCUUUUCUAUUCCUAGGUAUGUUUACUAAAUUAUAUGAAUCCAGUAAUUCCAAUUAUCCUUUGCAUAUCCAUCCUAAAGUGCAUUUUAUACCAUUGGAUUGCAUUUGGAUUUGUUUUUAAGUUACAGAAAAGAAAUCUUGAGUCAGUAAAUGUGGUUAGAUCUCCAGGUCACUGAAUCUUGAAAGAAAUAGAUUUAAAAAGCUUUUUUAAAAUAAGGAAAAAUGACAAAACUCUGGGAAGAAAAAGUUGAAUGUCACUAUUUCUUAGGUGCUAAUUAGAGAUGUGUUUAAUUGCAUGUUGUUCAUUUGAAGAUACUACCUUUUGAUCACUUCACAGGUAGGUAGCGAGCAUUGGUCCUUUUCCAACUGGUUAGACGUGAUGCUGGGAAAACUAGACUCUUUUACCUGACAUAGAUAACUUACUGUUUUAAUUCCUGAGGUGACAUCUUUCCAGUGUUAAAUACAGACCAGAAUAACAAUUGUAUUAUAAUUAUCAACAUUUGGGCAAGGCAUGUAGAAGACUGCCCAGAGUACUGUUUUGUUUUUUUUUUUUAAAUAAAUCUUCACUUCAUUUAGUUCUCUGAUUACAUAAUUAUGCCCUUUUUUUUUCUUUUGCAAAGUAAAUUGCUUUAGGAAAAUUUUAGUAAAAAGAAUUAAGACCUUCAACAAAAUACUGAUGUACUGUGAACCUCAAUUUUCUGUCUGUAGGAUGGGGUUGUUAAUACCCAUAGGUCACGGAGAGUGCUAGAGGAGAUAACUAGUUGUCACGUAUAAAUCAGUUUGUAAAAGCAAUUUUGUUCCAGGGCAUAAUUUUCAGGUGCUGAUAAUCAGAUCUUUAAAGAAAAAAAAAAUCUCUCUUAACUUGGUUGUCAUUUGUUAAACAAAGACUAGGAUAUCUUCGGGUGGUCAGUCAACUCACUCAUGGCCAUGAGGUGAACUGUAAUGGCCUCAAACUAACUUCUUCAGGUAAAAUGAAAUUCUAUUCACUUGGAGGCUCAGUUUUAUCUACCAGUAGUUGAUGUGGUGAGCUAUCUGACUUCUAAAAGUGUCUUUUGUCAGUCAUUCAUUCAUGCAUGCAUUUAUGGAUUCAUUUAAGAAAUAUUUAUUCAGUACCCACUCUGUACAGAAUUGCUGGGUAUCACAGGUACCCCUACCCCAUCUCCCAAGAUUCCUAUCCCCUGGUUGAUCAAUCAAACACUAAUUUGGUAUUACUGUGAAAGGAAUUUGCAGAUGUAAUUAAAGUCCAUGUUAGUUGACCUUAAAAUAUGGAGAUGAUCUGGGUGGGCCUAACAUAGUCUCACGUCUCUUUAAAAACAAGCAGUUUUCUCCACUGGUGGCAGAAGGUGACAUCAAGAGACUAAAACCUUGAAGGGGAUUUGACUUGUUUGCUGGCUUGAGGAUGGAGGGGCCCACCUGUUAAGGAAUAAGUGAUCUUUAGAAUCAGAGAGCAGCCUCUAACAGCCAACAAGGAUAUGAGACCUCAGUCCUACAAUCACAAGGAACUGGAUCCUGACAACAACCUAAAGAAACCUGAAAGUGGAUUCUUCCCUAGCGCCUUGUGGAUGCCCUGAUUUCAGCCUUGUAAGAUCAGACAGAGAGAACUGUUGAGCCAUAUUGUACUUCAAGAUUACAGAACAGAACUGUGAGGUAAUAAAUCUGUGUUGCUUUUAAACCACUGCAUUCAUGGCAGUUGUUUGCUACAACAGAAAACAAAAGCAAUCAUUGAUCUUUCAUAUUGUGACAUAUCAAGCAACUGCAGAAAGCAAUGCAAGGGUUAAAGAGACAAAAGUUAGAAAUGGAAAACCUAAAGACAUGUCAAGGCAAAAUGCCUGAGCAUCCAAUGAGCAGUGCCUGUAGUAAGUGUUCUUAGUACCAGGAAGGGUGUUUCAGAGUGGGUGGGACUGUUUUGAGUUCUUCCUGGAGCAGGGGGACCAAAAAGCAUGGGAAGGUUUGGCAAGGUGGAAUUUCUUUUAUAAUUUCAAAUAAAUGUCCUUUUGAA
This is a long non-coding RNA of Camelus dromedarius (Arabian camel), 3048 nucleotides long. RefSeq lists it as uncharacterized. The record is from RefSeq and is a predicted model, not a curated record. NCBI's taxonomy places the organism in Eukaryota, Metazoa, Chordata, Mammalia, Artiodactyla, Camelidae. The transcript is spliced from 6 exons.